UACGUAGGGGGCAAGCGUUGUCCGGAUUUAUUGGGCGUAAAGAGCGUGUAGGCGGCUAGAUAGGUCCGUUGUGAAAACCCGGGGCUCAACCCCGGGCCUGCAUUCGAUACGGGCAGACUAGAGUUCGGUAGGGGAGUCUGGAAUUCCUGGUGUAGCGGUGAAAUGCGCAGAUAUCAGGAGGAACACCGGUGGCGAAGGCGGGACUCUGGGCCGAUACUGACGCUGAGGAGCGAAAGCGUGGGGAGCAAACAGG
This 253-nucleotide ribosomal RNA is filed under the name uncultured bacterium. Its description in RNAcentral is "partial 16S ribosomal RNA". It matches the Rfam family "Bacterial small subunit ribosomal RNA", at positions 524 to 776 of the family's 1533-position model. The record is from RNAcentral.